GCAAAUUGUGAGAGUGCUGACGAGCGGCGGACGGGUGAGUAACGCGUGAGAAUCUACCCCAAACUGAGGGAUAACUCCGGGAAACCGGUGCUAAUACCGCAUAUGGCCUUCGGGUUAAAGUUUUAUACGGUUUGGGAAGAGCUUGCGUUGGAUUAGCUAGUUGGUGAGGUAAUGGCUUACCAAGGCGACGAUCCAUAGUUGGUCUGAGAGGAUGAUCAACCACACUGGAACUGAGACACGGUCCAGACUCC
This 251-nucleotide ribosomal RNA is filed under the name uncultured bacterium. Its description in RNAcentral is "partial 16S ribosomal RNA". It matches the Rfam family "Bacterial small subunit ribosomal RNA", at positions 73 to 339 of the family's 1533-position model. The record is from RNAcentral.